UCUGCUUUAUUGAUUCUAAGUGUGCUCCUUUCUCAUAUGAGCGGGCUUUUGACUUCAAUACUUCAAUUGUAUUCCCUUAUUCUCCAGGUGGGUGCCUGAUUUCUAUUUCGUUUAUCCUUGUUCUCCAGGUGGACGCCUGAUUUCUUCCUUCCUUUGUCCUUAUUCUCCAGGUGGACGCCUGAUUACUUCUUUUCUUUGUCCUUGUUCUCCAGGUGAACGCCUGAUUUCUAUUUUUCUUUGUCCUUGUUCUCCAGGUGGACACCUGAUUUCUAUUUUUCUUUGUCUUUGUUCUCCAAAUGGACACCUGAUUUCUUCUUUUCUUUGUCCUUGUUCUCCAGGUGGACGCCUGAUUUCUUCCUUCC
This 362-nucleotide long non-coding RNA is filed under the name Nicotiana tabacum (common tobacco). RNAcentral describes it as "long non-coding RNA (NTAB_LNC004200)". Lineage: Eukaryota; Viridiplantae; Streptophyta; Magnoliopsida; Solanales; Solanaceae. The record is from RNAcentral.